AGAGUUUGAUCAUGGCUCAGAUUGAACGCUGGCGGCAGGCCUAACACAUGCAAGUCGAACGGUAACAGGAAGAAGCUUGCUUCUUUGCUGACGAGUGGCGGACGGGUGAGUAAUGUCUGGGAAACUGCCUGAUGGAGGGGGAUAACUACUGGAAACGGUAGCUAAUACCGCAUAACGUCGCAAGACCAAAGAGGGGGACCUUCGGGCCUCUUGCCAUCGGAUGUGCCCAGAUGGGAUUAGCUUGUUGGUGGGGUAACGGCUCACCAAGGCGACGAUCCCUAGCUGGUCUGAGAGGAUGACCAGCCACACUGGAACUGAGACACGGUCCAGACUCCUACGGGAGGCAGCAGUGGGGAAUAUUGCACAAUGGGCGCAAGCCUGAUGCAGCCAUGCCGCGUGUAUGAAGAAGGCCUUCGGGUUGUAAAGUACUUUCAGCGGGGAGGAAGGGAGUAAAGUUAAUACCUUUGCUCAUUGACGUUACCCGCAGAAGAAGCACCGGCUAACUCCGUGCCAGCAGCCGCGGUAAUACGGAGGGUGCAAGCGUUAAUCGGAAUUACUGGGCGUAAAGCGCACGCAGGCGGUUUGUUAAGUCAGAUGUGAAAUCCCCGGGCUCAACCUGGGAACUGCAUCUGAUACUGGCAAGCUUGAGUCUCGUAGAGGGGGGUAGAAUUCCAGGUGUAGCGGUGAAAUGCGUAGAGAUCUGGAGGAAUACCGGUGGCGAAGGCGGCCCCCUGGACGAAGACUGACGCUCAGGUGCGAAAGCGUGGGGAGCAAACAGGAUUAGAUACCCUGGUAGUCCACGCCGUAAACGAUGUCGACUUGGAGGUUGUGCCCUUGAGGCGUGGCUUCCGGAGCUAACGCGUUAAGUCGACCGCCUGGGGAGUACGGCCGCAAGGUUAAAACUCAAAUGAAUUGACGGGGGCCCGCACAAGCGGUGGAGCAUGUGGUUUAAUUCGAUGCAACGCGAAGAACCUUACCUGGUCUUGACAUCCACAGAACUUUCCAGAGAUGGAUUGGUGCCUUCGGGAACUGUGAGACAGGUGCUGCAUGGCUGUCGUCAGCUCGUGUUGUGAAAUGUUGGGUUAAGUCCCGCAACGAGCGCAACCCUUAUCCUUUGUUGCCAGCGGUCCGGCCGGGAACUCAAAGGAGACUGCCAGUGAUAAACUGGAGGAAGGUGGGGAUGACGUCAAGUCAUCAUGGCCCUUACGACCAGGGCUACACACGUGCUACAAUGGCGCAUACAAAGAGAAGCGACCUCGCGAGAGCAAGCGGACCUCAUAAAGUGCGUCGUAGUCCGGAUUGGAGUCUGCAACUCGACUCCAUGAAGUCGGAAUCGCUAGUAAUCGUGGAUCAGAAUGCCACGGUGAAUACGUUCCCGGGCCUUGUACACACCGCCCGUCACACCAUGGGAUGGGUUGCAAAAGAGUAGGUAGCUUAACCUUCGGGAGGGCGCUUACCACUUUGUGAUUCAUGACUGGGGUGAAGUCGUAACAAGGUAACCGUAGGGGAACCUGCGGUUGGAUCACCU
This 1528-nucleotide ribosomal RNA is filed under the name Escherichia coli DEC12A. RNAcentral's name for it is "bacterial SSU rRNA". It matches the Rfam family "Bacterial small subunit ribosomal RNA". Lineage: Bacteria; Pseudomonadati; Pseudomonadota; Gammaproteobacteria; Enterobacterales; Enterobacteriaceae. The record is from RNAcentral.